RNAcentral lists this ribosomal RNA (808 nucleotides) under uncultured Pseudoalteromonas sp. RNAcentral's name for it is "bacterial SSU rRNA". It matches the Rfam family "Bacterial small subunit ribosomal RNA", at positions 699 to 1502 of the family's 1533-position model. The record is from RNAcentral. Lineage: Bacteria; Pseudomonadati; Pseudomonadota; Gammaproteobacteria; Alteromonadales; Pseudoalteromonadaceae.
CCCUUAUUUACGGAAGGCCGAAGCAGCCACCUGGGUUCAACACUGACGCUCAUGUACGAAAGCGUGGGGAGCAAAUGGGAUUAGAUACCCCGGUAGUCCACGCCGUAAACGAUGUCUACUAGAAGCUCGGAGCCUCGGUUCUGUUUUUCAAAGCUAACGCAUUAAGUAGACCGCCUGGGGAGUACGGCCGCAAGGUUAAAACUCAAAUGAAUUGACGGGGGCCCGCACAAGCGGUGGAGCAUGUGGUUUAAUUCGAUGCAACGCGAAGAACCUUACCUACACUUGACAUACAGAGAACUUACCAGAGAUGGUUUGGUGCCUUCGGGAACUCUGAUACAGGUGCUGCAUGGCUGUCGUCAGCUCGUGUUGUGAGAUGUUGGGUUAAGUCCCGCAACGAGCGCAACCCCUAUCCUUAGUUGCUAGCAGGUAAUGCUGAGAACUCUAAGGAGACUGCCGGUGAUAAACCGGAGGAAGGUGGGGACGACGUCAAGUCAUCAUGGCCCUUACGUGUAGGGCUACACACGUGCUACAAUGGCGCAUACAGAGUGCUGCGAACUCGCGAGAGUAAAGCGAAUCACUUAAAGUGCGUCGUAGUCCGGAUUGGAGUCUGCAACUCGACUUCCAUGAAGUCGGAAUCGCUAGUAAUCGCGUAUCAGAAUGACGCGGUGAAAUACGUUCCCGGGCCUUGUACACACCGCCCGUCACACCAUGGGAGUGGGUUGCUCCAGAAGUAGAUAGUCUAACCCUCGGGAGGACGUUUACCACGGAGUGAUUUCAUGACUGGGGUGAAGUCGUAACAAGGUAACCA